This is a long non-coding RNA of Bombus huntii, 175 nucleotides long. RefSeq lists it as uncharacterized. The transcript has 3 exons. The record is from RefSeq and is a predicted model, not a curated record. Lineage: Eukaryota; Metazoa; Arthropoda; Insecta; Hymenoptera; Apidae.
UCCAAAUAUUGGUGGACUAACAUACUUUACAUCAACAACUUCUAUAGAUGGGAUGAGCUAUGUCUCACAUGGAGUUGGUACCUGCCCAACGAUAUGCAGUUCUUCGUAUUUGGCAGUUUUCUCUUAACUUUAUCGAUCACGCAUUACAAUAUUGCCAUUGGCUUAGGCGUUUUUA